This 492-nucleotide ribosomal RNA is filed under the name uncultured bacterium. RNAcentral's name for it is "partial 16S ribosomal RNA". It matches the Rfam family "Bacterial small subunit ribosomal RNA", at positions 29 to 507 of the family's 1533-position model. The record is from RNAcentral.
AGUGAACGCUGGCGGUAGGCCUAACACAUGCCAGUCGAACGGCAGCACAGUAAGAGCUUGCUCUUACGGGUGGCGAGUGGCGGACGGGUGAGGAAUACAUCGGAAUCUACUUUUUCGUGGGGGAUAACGUAGGGAAACUUACGCUAAUACCGCAUACGACCUACGGGUGAAAGCAGGGGAUCUUCGGACCUUGCGCGAUUGAAUGAGCCGAUGUCGGAUUAGCUAGUUGGCGGGGUAAAGGCCCACCAAGGCGACGAUCCGUAGCUGGUCUGAGAGGAUGAUCAGCCACACUGGAACUGAGACACGGUCCAGACUCCUGCGGGAGGCAGCAGUGGGGAAUAUUGGACAAUGGGCGCAAGCCUGAUCCAGCCAUACCGCGUGGGUGAAGAAGGCCUUCGGGUUGUAAAGCCCUGUUGUUGGGAAAGAAAAGCAGCAGGUUAAUACCCCGCUGUUCUGACGGUACCCAAAGAAUAAGCACCGGCUAACUUCGUG